This 798-nucleotide long non-coding RNA is filed under the name Equus caballus (horse). RNAcentral's name for it is "lncRNA (ENSECAG00000050607.1)". The record is from RNAcentral. Lineage: Eukaryota; Metazoa; Chordata; Mammalia; Perissodactyla; Equidae.
CUUGGCCAAACGCACCCAGCAGGAUUCUUGCUAAAAUUCGUCUAGGCUGGCCAAGGGCGAGGCCCCGUCAGCAAGGGACUCGAAGAGCCUAGGCAGUUAGGUCGGGGAGAGUCGCCAGCUAUGCGUCAGCCGUGGUCUGGGCUGCUUGCACCCCUCGGUCCUAUUUAAUUCUCUCAACAGCCCUAUGAGGUGGAGGUUGUGAUGUCUUAUUUACAGACAAGGAGACUGUCAAGGUGCUAAGCCAGCGCCAAACGAAACGCCCUAAAUAAACUCAGCCUUCUGCUCAAGGAUCUCACAGGCAUCUGAACUUGGCCCACCCUCAGCCUGAGCCAGCAGACAGCCCCUCCUGAGAAUAGGCUGGCCUCAGGUGGGCAGACAGAGACUACAGUAGGUGGGCGCUUGGCUUCUAGGAGCCCAGACAGGCCCCACAGCAAGGGCCAAAGGAGAUUCGAACCCAGGAGCCCCUGAUUCUCUUCCACAAUGGCCAGGAAUAGGGCUCUGGCCCUUCACAGUGAGUAGGGAGCACUGCCAGCCAGGCAGCGACAAACACCCCUUUUGCCAGCUUGUUUGUGUUUUCAGAACGGGCUUGUUGAGAUGAAUUACAGGUGCAGGUGAAAUGUUUUCAUAAAAGAAGAGAAGAGCAGCCUUUCGCCGUGGGGUUUCUCUUCCUGGAGGCUCGUUGCCAGUUCCUCCACCUCCCCUCCUUGCCGGCAGCCUUGGAAUUGGCCACUGAGCUGGCAGACCCGUUUGAGUGCUGCAGAAGGCGCCGGACAAACCAAGAAAAGGUGUCGUUUAUGU